Long non-coding RNA from Triticum dicoccoides, 5119 nucleotides. RefSeq lists it as uncharacterized. The record is from RefSeq and is a predicted model, not a curated record. The transcript is spliced from 5 exons. NCBI's taxonomy places the organism in Eukaryota, Viridiplantae, Streptophyta, Magnoliopsida, Poales, Poaceae.
CCCAGGCCCCAGCCCCCACCGGACAAACCCUAGCCUCACCAAGCCCCACAUCUCGCGCUCCUCCCUCCUCCAUCCUCGUUAGCCGCCGCCGCCGUUCUGCCUCCCUCCUCUCUCCCCUACAACCACGUCGCCGGGAGGAAGCCGCUGUUCGUGGCACCAUGCCGCUGCCGGGGUGUUGCGUACGCUUCGUUCCCCACAGCCCCUCCCUCAUCCUCGCUCAUCACCGCCGCUGCCUGCUACUCCCGGGGCGGCCGAGCGCCAACGAUGCGGCAAUGGCUGUUCCAGGAGGCGAGGGUGAGGGCGCGGGAGUUGGGCAUUGGGCACGUGGACAAGGAGGGAGGAGUCAACUUGAGGGAGGAGAUGAGAGAGGUGAGGGUUGGCAGCUAUUGCAGGGAGAGGAGGAGGAGUCUGGAGGCAAUGGACGAUUUUUUUAGGGUGGUCGGCGACCUACAGCCUACAGGCAACGUCCGUAGUAGCAGCAGGCGACCUGCAGCAGCUCCUUCCUACCUUCCAUGGAUGAGCUCUUCGGAGACGCCGUCCAGCCCGACCACGACCACGACUACCCCACGCACAAGAGGAAGGUUGAUUCAUUUGUCAAAUUCAUUCCACCGAAGCCAUCUGCUCCGCCCACCAACCCGCCCAGAAAGGUAGUUACAGUGAAUUGAUGUUCGCACUGAGGCCGGAGGCGAGAGGCGAGGGCACGGAGGUCGGUGGCAAGUGCUCAGGAGAGAAGAGGAAGGCGGCGGCGCUGGGCGGUGGCUGCGGUUUACACGAGAGGGAGGUGACCCGCCCAGAAAGGUAGUUACAGUGAAUUGAUGUUCAUAUGAACUUCAAUGAUGUGAACUUUUUAUUAGAUCUGAGUUGCAAUCCUCAAUUUUUUUAGGUUUGAGUAGCAAUGCUCCUGCUCUACUAGCUAUGACAUUUUCCAUGCUUUUUCUUCUAAUAUCAUAUAGCGUCCAUGCUUGUGGGUUCAACUUGACGAGCUUUUUUCACCUUCCAUCCUGUUUUAAGCUCUGUUGAUGGAUGAUUUCUGCCAUAUUUAUGGAGGGGGAGGACGCCAACUACUAGGAGAAGGAUCAGUUUAGCAAGUACAGGAUGUAAUUCUCUUAUGAUUGUGGGUAGAUGCCUCCUUUAUUUAGUUACCAGAGUUGUUCACUAUUGAAUAUGCAAAUUCAACAUCCUUUAUAUAAUGGGAUCUUAUGAACUCUUUUUGAAGAUUGCUGAGAAGCGCAACCUUUUGAUCUUGGAGAACCGCAAGUUUGCUGACAUUAAAAACACAUUCAUUAUGCAAGACGAAUGGUGAGAAAUGUGUUAUUCCCUAUCCUUCCAUUCUAUUUGCAUAUUCACGCAGUAUGCUUAGUUUUUUCCUUUCAAGAUGAAUAUUCUACACAUGAGAGCAAUAUACUUGGUAUUAUUGAUGCUCAUAUAAUUCCUGGACCUGGAAUUGUUGAUGGCUUGAGGCUUAAAGUAUGUUAUGUGUUGCAUACCUAAUAAAUAUUAGCAAGCUAAUGUUGCAGCUUGACAGAUGUUGUGAUAACUUCUCCUUUUUCUGUUUGUUAAUAUCCACUUCGAACUGAGCAGCCAUGAUCCGGAUUUCCUCUAUGUAGCUAUGAGAUGCAUGCAGUUCGUUAUUGUGUAUCAUGUGCUAAAACAUUGAUUAUUUGACAAUGAACACAUGGCAAUGCCUUAACUAUUCAACUUGCCUAGCUCAGUAUUUUAACCAAUAGAGAAGUUUUUUUUGUUGCUUUCCCUUUUGUUAGAUAUUUUGCUUUUUGUAUGUUGAGGGGAGAUGGAUAUGGCCUCAGGACUAAACGCACAGACCACAUGAAGUGAUCUGAUGGUAGGUAAAGUAUUUUUUAUUGGCAAUGCUAAUGUCUGGACCAGCUCAAUGGUUUUAACUCUAUGAUGUUCAGUUUAGCAUAUCGCAUGUACAAAUGCAUAUAUACAAAUUGUGGUGGGCAACUCACUAUUUAGACGACGUGACUAUUCUCUUGAUAAGGAGAGUCCCACCAUACUCAUGUGAGAGUUAGGCGUGGUAGUGGGUAGUGUUUUCUCAUCAUCCAUUAUGUGUUUCUUCUGUCUAGCUCGAAGUUGCUUAGUUAGAUAAUGAUUCGCAAAUUCUAGCAUUGCAUGUUGCCUGACACUUUUGCAUUAGCAUUGAAUUGCAGCCUGCAUUUUUGCAGCCCGCGAGGCGUGUAAAUGUUGGACUAUUGUUUCUCCGCUGAUGCACAUGUUUCGCCACAGAGACAGUACUCUGUGUGUGUGUGAUCUCUGGAAUUAGUUUUUAUGUUUCUCUAUGUUGAGUACUUUUGUAAUCUCCACGGGUGUGUUUCGUAUUUUCUAUGUACCCUCUGUCAUUCUUUUAAGUGUUUAAUGUUUUCUUUUGUAGUUUUUGAUAUUUAGGUGCAGUCACGUUUCAUUUGUCGCAGACCUGCACCCGUUAGGAAAAUCAUAGUUUCAUUUCGAUCAUGUUUCUUUAAGUUGUUCAGUGUUUGUUCAUUAUGUAGUAGAGUAAGCAGUACAUUUUGUCCAUCAGUUAAAUCACUCAUGUCACAUUCAGUUGAUUGAUUAGGUUUAGUUUUUGUUCCUUUCUCUUUGUUCCUUCAGUUUUUUGUUCCUUUAUUUAGUCAUUGUGCUUGCAUCAUUUGCCAGUAUUUUAGUCCAUCUCAAUAGACCCCUAUGAUUCUUCAUAGUUUAUCUCUUUCGUAGAUCAGACUUUUCCACUUUGUUAGUUAGGCUAAUUUAUGCUUUUUUCAGUUUUUAGUCUUUACAUGAUUUAGUUGGACAGUGUGUUUGGUAUUUCAAUAGUUCAGUAGUUUCAUACUUUCAUUUAAUUAAAUAGUCUUAUUUUUAGUCUCAGUACUUCAGGUUUAGUUUCCAAACAAGUACUUUUUUACUCAUGUGGUUUUCGGUCUUUUGACUAUAUGUGGUUUUCAAUCUUUUCAUCUCUUGGUUUACUUGUCAUUCUUUAUUUAUCCGCCUUACUAUUCUCAGUCUUGUUUUUUAUUGAGAGACACAACCUUUUCAAUACACUUCUAUUUUAAUUUUUCAUAACAACGGCUGUUUUUUUGUUUCAACUUUGACUCUAUGCUAUUAAAGUAAACCAAGUAUAUUAAAAUAAACCAACUAUAUUCAUAUAUGCCUCAGUAAUUGGUAUAGCCGUUUUUUAUCGAGAGAGACAACAUUUCAAAACACUUCUAUCUUCAUUUUUCAUACCAACGAAUAUUUUUUGUGCUGACAUGUGAGUUAAUUAUUUGGAAAAAAUAUAAUUAUAUAUGUAUUGCCAACAAUUUUUAUGUUUAAAGCAACCAAUUUUGUGAAAAGAGUGGAGAGAAAGAUACAUGUGCAAUUUCUUGAUGUUACAGCGGAUGGAUACUCGAUCUUUAAACAUAAGCACACAUGAAUAGGUACAAAUUCGAGGAAAGGCCAAUGAAAUAGUUGUCUGUACACAUAUGUGCCAGUUUUAUACCUGGUUGUCUGGUUGCAUUAUUUGUCCGGUUUCAAUUCAGUUUGAGUAGAUUGUUAUCCGUGAGCGAUACUUGCUACUAUUUGUACCCAUGCACCAAUUUGCAUACCUAUUUUAGGCACAGAAACCAACCAUGACUGAAAAUCAUGUAUAUAUAAUUUACUAUGAUUCAUGGUGAGAAAAUCAUGAUUUAAUAAACGAAAGGUGGUUUGUUUUGCUAACAGUACUGAGUAUAAAUGUAAAUCGCAGAUCGUACGCUGCUGCUACGGGCUCCAUGUUGUUUAUGCUAGACAACACAACGGUGCUUGUGUUAUCUAUAGUUGAAGUCGCAGUUUAAUAUUCUUUGCUUUAUGCUUGUGUUAUAUGUGGUUGAAGGGACAUCCUUGUUAGUUUGCAUGGUCUAUGUAAGAAGGAGCAGUACAAUGCUUGUCAAGUUUGUUUAUAUUCUGAUGGCUGUUGAAUUCUGGACAAUGGAGACGUGAAUUUGUUACGUACAUAGGUACUAGGCAUAGGAUACUUUACUCAUUGAUGACAUGUAGUUUUAGAGAACUUCUGAAAAUUCCAAUUCAGGUUUUCUGUGUUCCAUUCAGGAAGAACGCACAGUCUACACUGGGGUAUAAAAUUAUCUACUACUUACCUUUGUGUCUCGACAUAUGCUUGUGAUGCAUCGUGCUGCCAGAGGCCAACAUUAUCCAGUAUCAUAGCGAUGCCAAAAAUGCCUAUUGGUUACUCCGCAUAUUCUCAUCUGAUUUCUCACAUAUAGAUAUUAAUUUCCUUUCAUGGGAGACCUUCAUUACAUUUCAGCGGCGGUUGCGGAUGUGAUUGGCGGUUGAGGGAGGGUCUCCGACUAGAGCAGCAGGAGCAAGGUGCUCGAGGAAGUUCAGGACAAUUUUCUGGAUUAAUAUCUAUACUGGAGAUCUAGGAGUCCACCCGAAUUCAGUCUCCAAGAAGCCGUUCAUCCAGGAUCCACCAAAAUUCAAAUGAUAUGUGAAAAGCGUGUGCUAGAUGUGGCCCCUAUCCAGCGUUUUGAUCUGUCCACUCAGGUGCUUUUGUCUAGGUGGUAACACAACAAGCUGCUUAUCUUAUACUCCCUCCGUUCCAAAAUAGAUGACUCAACUUUGUACUAACUUUUAAAGUUAGUACAAAGUUGAGUCAUCUAUUUUGGAACGGAGGGAGUAGAAACUUAUUAUACGUACAGUCCUAUGUUCGUUCUGCUUGCAUGUUAGAGAAAGAGCUUCUGCCCCUAUGUAAGUAAUCCUAUGGGAAUUAGCAACGUUGGCUGUACUUUCAAGCGGGUUGAAUCCAAUGCAAGUUUUUGGAGCAGUUGGGUUCCAGAACAAACGACUAGGUAUUCCCAAAGAGGUCAUUCCACUGGUGGCUAGCAUAAUAUCUUCAUGUCGGGACAACGAUCCAAGCAAGCAACCAUCAUUCUACCAGCUCUUGUCAUCGCUGAAGAAAUUACAGUGGUUACAUUGUUACGGAAAGCCUAUGACAAUUUGCGAGUGUUGUUUGUGCAAUAUACUGGUUUUAUGGCAGGUGCAUGUAUGAAUUCAGAUGGUAGUGGUCUCCUUGUUUACAGUUAUAAGAAUAAUAAAAAUAUUGAUAAUGGUCUUUCCACUAUUACAAUCUCAUAGAUUACAUUACCUGCUUCCA